RNAcentral lists this ribosomal RNA (253 nucleotides) under uncultured bacterium. RNAcentral's name for it is "partial 16S ribosomal RNA". It matches the Rfam family "Bacterial small subunit ribosomal RNA", at positions 524 to 776 of the family's 1533-position model. The record is from RNAcentral.
UACGUAGGUGGCAAGCGUUAUCCGGAAUUACUGGGCGUAAAGCGCACGCAGGCGGUCUUUUAAGUUUGACGUGAAAGCUCCCGGCUUAACUGGGAGAGGUCGUUGAAGACUGGAAGACUUGAGGCAAUGAGAGGGGUGUAGAAUUCCCGGUGUAGUGGUGGAAUGCGUAGAUAUCGGGGGGAACACCAGUGGCGAAAGCGGCACCCUAGCGUUAGCCUGACGCUCAUGUGCGAAAGCGUGGGGAGCGAACGGG